GGAGGUGUAGCUCAGUGAAGAGUGCUAGUCUGGUGUGCAAAAGUCCUAGGUUCUAUCCCCAGCACCACCA
Molecule: transfer RNA, 70 nt
Filed under: Mesocricetus auratus (golden hamster)
Lineage: Eukaryota; Metazoa; Chordata; Mammalia; Rodentia; Cricetidae
Rfam family: tRNA
About the family: Transfer RNA (tRNA) molecules are approximately 80 nucleotides in length.
Source: Rfam by way of RNAcentral